Molecule: ribosomal RNA, 20 nt
Filed under: Symbiodinium sp. C164
Lineage: Eukaryota; Dinophyceae; Suessiales; Symbiodiniaceae
Description: partial 28S ribosomal RNA
Source: RNAcentral
GCAUGAAGUCAGACAAGUGA